UGUGGUCUCGUGGUUUUGCCGGUAUCUAUUGUUGUUGUUGUUGUUGUUGUUGUUGUUGUUGUUGUUGUCGUCGUCGUCGUCAGCGAUGUUGUUGUUGUGUGCGUUUUGUUUGCAUACGUCUUUGAAAACUGCGUUGCAAAGGGAGUUGAUCUGUGAGGACUUACUAAACUUCUGCGGCACUGACGACUGAUGGGCGAAGGGGCUGAUCAUGGAUGGCAGCCCGGACACCAAGGGGUCCCCAUGACUCCCCGAGCCGCCCAGUAGACCCUGGAUGGAGUACCCGGGCUGGCGGAGCCCCUCCAUGUCCAUGUACGGCUUGAGGUCCAUGGUGGCGCCCACUGACAAUCGUCGAGACACCGAGGAGACUGCGCCGCGGCGAAGCCCCACAACAUCCCCGUGGGCUUACAACAAUUGAUUUUUAUUACAU
This is a long non-coding RNA of Macrosteles quadrilineatus (aster leafhopper), 427 nucleotides long. RefSeq lists it as uncharacterized. Lineage: Eukaryota; Metazoa; Arthropoda; Insecta; Hemiptera; Cicadellidae. The transcript has 2 exons. The record is from RefSeq and is a predicted model, not a curated record.